RNAcentral lists this ribosomal RNA (468 nucleotides) under uncultured bacterium. RNAcentral describes it as "partial 16S ribosomal RNA". It matches the Rfam family "Bacterial small subunit ribosomal RNA", at positions 28 to 507 of the family's 1533-position model. The record is from RNAcentral.
GACGAACGCUGGCGGCGUGCUUAACACAUGCAAGUCGAACGGAAAGGCCCUGCUUUUGUGGGGUGCUCGAGUGGCGAACGGGUGAGUAACACGUGAGUAACCUGCCCUGGACUUUGGGAUAACUUCAGGAAACUGGGGCUAAUACCGGAUAGGAGCUUCUGCUGCAUGGUGGGGGUUGGAAAGUUUCGGCGGUUGGGGAUGGACGCGCGGCAUAUCAUCUUGUGGGGGGGGUAGUCGUUUACCAAGGCUUUGACGGAUACCGCGCGAGAGAGGGUGACGGCACACAGGGGGACUGAGAUGGCCCAGAGACCUAUAGGGGGGAGAAGUGGGGGAAAUAGUACACAGGGCGCAGGCGUGAGACAGCGACGCCGCGCGUGGGAGAACGGCCUUUGGGGUGUAUAAACCUCUUGCGCGGGAGACGGAGUGUUUGUGACGGUACCGGGAGAAGAAGCACCGGCUAACUACGUG